GUUUUUUCUGUCAAACGGGAAAGUCGUGUCUCCUGGUUCUGGAACUUCGCUCUGUAACCAAUUCAGUUACUUCCUUCUAAUUCCUCUGCCUUCUCAUUCUAGAAUUCUGACUUCAUGAUACGAGUGAGGCUCCGGGACUCAUCGGAACCUUAAGUUUCUCUGUCGGCUUUUCCAUCUCUUUGCCUUAAAAUUCCAAAGAUUUCCUCGACGGUACCGUCCGGCUCUUUUACGGACUUAACCUUUUGUUUUAUGUAGAGAAAUACGUGCAGGAUCCACGGGUGCGUUGUCGUCCUCCGAGUGUUUCUAAGACCGGCUUGUUCUCACCGGGGCUCGGACACCACCUCCGACCGCCCUCGGGAUGGUUUCGAUCAUUUCACUUUCUUCCGCGCGCAACGUCGUCCCAUCCGCGUGUUUGCUCGUUGUCCGCCUGUUCCCGCCUUCCCUGCCACACGCCCGCGGUUCUCCCACAGGCCCCUCCGGACGAGCCAGGGGACACGCGCCUGCCUGCGCUGUCCCUCUCGGAGCCAAGAUGCCCGAGACCGAGGCCGCCUGUCAGAACCGAAAGGCCACCUGUCCGGGCGACGCCGCAGCCACUCCCAGGUCCUCCGUCCAGUGUCAUGACAGGGAGCCUGCGGCCUCUCUCGCCAGCGAAGGGAAAAGCCCGAGUUCGACCUCUGCAGGGAGGACGGCGCGGGGGGAGAGGGGACGGCGGGACGGCUGGCGCCUCCUGCGAUGGCGCAGCUGGGCUCUGCCCUCGAGCCGGGCCCGGGAGACGCUGCCCACAGGAGGACCUGGACGCCCGGCCUGCCUCGGGGGAAAUAAAGCGAGAAACUACUUAAUCUCACACAAGACCCAAAAUGCAUAGAGAAGGGGACUCGGAACCCGGCCCCGGGCCGAGCUCCCAGGGCCGACCCCGCCGCAGAGCCGUGCGCGGACUGGAGACGCUGUGACUCCGGGUGGGCGACCCGCGUGCGUGGCCUCCGGGCCCUGAGAGUCAAUGGAGGGACGUGAGCCCCGAGCGCGAGCGCUGGCAUUCGGCAGAGCCAGCUGAGAGCCGCAGAUUGUGGAUCCCAAGCAAUUAUAUUUUUAAACAUGUUCAAAGUUAUUUUUAACCUUUUAUAGUCCUUUCUGGUUUUCACUGUGCAGAGACUAUUUUAAACCUUUUCUUAUUAAAAUUGGAAAUGUAGACAAGGACACUUAACUGCAAAUUGUGAAUGAAAGAGACAGGGGCCACCCCCACAGGAAGAGGGGCCUGGGGCGGAGACGGGGGAGGGCACACCUGGGGGGCGGCUUCUGAGCACGGACCCAGCGCCAGCAUCACCCAGACCCGGCGGCCGCGGGGAACGGAUGUGCCCCGGGCUGUGGCCCUCGGGGUCCCCUCUGUACCUUGACUCGGGCACAGGCCACCCUUUUAUUUGCACCCCUAGGGACGGCCCAGGUAGGCACCUCAUGAUGCUCAACCUUCCUUCUCGCCUGCAAAGUGCCUGCCCUUCAGCUGCUCCCGGCACCUCCUUUCCCUGCGUCUCAGCCUUCGAGUGGGCACUACAGGGUACCCGGUGCACCCCAUCCUUCUCGGGGUGACCCUGAGCACCUCUGUGCACCCUCAUCCUUCUCGGGGUGACCCUGAGCACCUCUGUGCACCCCAUCCUUCUCAGGGUGACCCUGAGUACCUCUGUGCACCCCUGUCCUUGUUGGGGUGACCCUGAGCACCUCUGUGCACCCCGUCCUUCUCGGGGUGACCCUGAGCACCUCUGUGCACCCCCAUCCUUCUCGGGUGACCCUGAGCACCUCUGUGCACCCCUGGGUGGUCCUGGGUUCCUGGGCUGCUCCUGCUCCCUGGGCCUCCUCACCACUGAUCCGUGCAU
This 1865-nucleotide long non-coding RNA is filed under the name Vulpes vulpes (red fox). Its description in RNAcentral is "lncRNA (ENSVVUG00000009328.1)". The record is from RNAcentral. Lineage: Eukaryota; Metazoa; Chordata; Mammalia; Carnivora; Canidae.